RNAcentral lists this ribosomal RNA (512 nucleotides) under uncultured bacterium. RNAcentral describes it as "partial 16S ribosomal RNA". It matches the Rfam family "Bacterial small subunit ribosomal RNA", at positions 28 to 523 of the family's 1533-position model. The record is from RNAcentral.
GACGAACGCUGGCGGCGUGCCUAAUACAUGCAAGUCGAGCGGAACUGGGGGAGCUUGCUCCUUCCAGUUUAGCGGCGGACGGGUGAGUAACACGUGGGCAACCUGCCCUGCAGAUCGGGAUAACUCCGGGAAACCGGUGCUAAUACCGAAUAGUUUGAGGCCUCUCCUGAGGCUUCACGGAAAGACGGUUUCGGCUGUCACUGCAGGAUGGGCCCGCGGCGCAUUAGCUAGUUGGUGGGGUAACGGCCCACCAAGGCCACGAUGCGUAGCCGACCUGAGAGGGUGACCGGCCACACGGGGACUGAGACACGGCCCAGACUCCUACGGGAAGCAGCAGUAGGGAAUCUUCCGCGAUGGACGCAAGUCUGACGGAGCAACGCCGCGUGAGUGACGAAGGUUUUCGGAUCGUAAAACUCUGUUGUGAGGGAAGAACACGUACCAACUAACUAUUGGUACCUUGACGGUACCUCACCAGAAAGCCACGGCUAACUACGUGCCAGCCGCCGCAGUAA